CUCAAAAGCCUGAAGCAAUGACAAAGGCUGUUCAAAGUGCUGAGGAACCAAGGAAAUGUACAUAUUUGGCUUAAUUCAUAAAACUGUCAUUGAAGGCCAGCUAAGAAGACGAAGAUUUUUGUCCAGGAUCUGCAGCUGUGAGACCACAGAAAGUUUGUUGACUCAUGACCUAGAUGACUGCAAGAGCCUACAAUGAAGUCCCUCUGCAAACAGAAGCAAAAGGCACAGUCUGCUCCUCCUAAAGCAAGUCCACAUCUCUACUCCAGAAAAGAGCAAACUAUUUACAACUAUUUAAAUACAGCCUUUUCAUCUUAAAAAUUACAUUAAGUUUCUGGAAUUCUGAUAUACCCAAUUCCAAGUAAGCAUGCUUUGAGCUGAAUUGAGCCUUUAGGAGUUGGAAUAUUUGGGACCUAGUCCCCAACCAAGUCUUCAGGACUUCUCAAAUAAUUAAUUCAGGCCAUACAAGAGAUUUGGUGAAUGAUACAGAGCAGUAGAAGUCCCAUAAAUGGGGGAAAGAGAAGACAUAGGGGUUACAGGAGAGGAGAGAAGGGUAUUGUUAGGGAAGUACAUGAAGUCAUAAAGUAGCACUUACUGAAGACCUGGGAUUUUCUAAUUAAGCCCAAGCAAUUCUCCUGAAUUCAGUUCAAUUUAUGGGUUCGUAUGCUAAAGAAAAAAAAU
RNAcentral lists this long non-coding RNA (678 nucleotides) under Homo sapiens (human). Its description in RNAcentral is "non-protein coding lnc-TNC-2:3". The record is from RNAcentral. Lineage: Eukaryota; Metazoa; Chordata; Mammalia; Primates; Hominidae.